UAGUUAUAUUAAUUUAAGAGUGCGGUGCCGUUUGACAACAUCAUAUUAAUAAUAUAUUUUUUUACGAUCGCAUUAUCGAUCAAUUAAUUCAUACGACUAACUGCAGCGGUUCAGGUGCCAUCGCACGGAGUCGACAAUAUUAUAACAAAAUGAGACGCACGCCAUGGCAUACCUAGGCACCUAGCUAACCUUGAUAGCCGGCUAUCUAAUAUAGUAUUCGGAUACGUUUUAGGUCGUUGCCGAUGUUGCUGCGGUACAAUCAUGACAUUAUUAUUAUUAUUAUUUAACGCAGACACUUUCUAUGUCGGUGCCUACUACUACAGUACUACCUAGGUAUACGGUUACCCGGGUGUACUGUGAGAGCCGAAGCCGAGAGGUAGGUCGUAGGUGCUGCAUUUGGUUUGGUUGUCCAUUGCCUACGUACAGAGAGCCGUACGCCCAUUUACCGUUUUUUAAGUCGUGCGUAAUGCAUAGUCACUGCAGCGUACCUAGUCCCGGCGGCUAGUCGCACGUCGUUCGACCGUAAGUAUUACGUGACGAGAAAUAUUCAAAUCGACCAAAUCUCGUGAUCUAGUUUGUUCUUUUUUUUUUUCUUAGAUUAUUCAUAUGGUCGUAAUAUUGUUAUCGUUUUUUACGAUUUUCGUACGGUUCGACAUACGUACACUUCAUAUUAGAAUAUAGGUAGGUAGGUCGUAUUGGUGUAUUUCGCGGCCGUCGGGGCGUAGUGCGCUGUGAUCUCGAAAAAUCGUCGAUCGUUUCGUUUUCAUGUCAGAGGUAUAGGUACAUCGCAAGUAUAUUAUUCAUAAAACAAGUGGAGUUUUCAAACUUAAAAAAUAGUUCGUUCGACGUAUACAUUAUAUUAUUAUAAUUUAUAAUAUUAUUCGCGGCGGUGCGAAUGCGAAAUAAUAUUAAUAUUGUGCGAAGUGGGACCGAGAUGCGCAAGCGUACAUGAAAUCCGGCUGAACCCGCGCAGACCGGUGGUGACGGCGGCGGCAGACAGUCAGUGGUUUGAAAAGAAAAAAAGUGGAAAAUUGUUCAUCAUCGAUCGUCGCUAACUUCAACACCCGAAACCGUUCCUAUUAUCAACACCUGUGAUUCAUGAAGACUAGUGAUAAUUUUUCGGGUUCUGUUAUUAUUUUGUAGAUACUUAGUUAUUGUAUAAUGUUAUUAUUAUUAUGCGUUUUUUAAAUAUCGCAAAAAUGUUCUGUUAUAGAAUUUACUCGUCGUGUAUUUUUUCGCGUUAAAACGGACGGUACCACGGUUUCCGCCCUUUCCUUUAGAUUACCUGGUCGACCUUUGAACAAAACACCCACCCGUGAAUCACUUACAUG
This is a long non-coding RNA of Myzus persicae (green peach aphid), 1331 nucleotides long. RefSeq lists it as uncharacterized. The record is from RefSeq and is a predicted model, not a curated record. The transcript is spliced from 3 exons. Lineage: Eukaryota; Metazoa; Arthropoda; Insecta; Hemiptera; Aphididae.